AUUGAACGCUGGCGGCAGGCCUAACACAUGCAAGUCGAACGAGUGGCGGACGGGUGAGUAAUGUCUGGGAAACUGCCUGAUGGCGGGGGAUAACUACUGGAAAAGGUAGCUAAUACCGCAUACCCUCAGAUGUGCCCAGAUGGGAUUAGCUAGUUGGUGGGGUAAAGGCUCACCUAGGCGACGAUCCCUAGCCGGUCUGAGAGGAUGACCAUGCAUCCUGGAACUGAGACACGGUCCAGACCCGGACGGGAGGCAGCAGUGGGGAUGAUUGCACAAAGGGCGCAAUCCACAGGCAGACAUGCCGCCUGUAUGAAGAACGCCUUCGGGUUGUAAAGUACUUUCAGCGGGGAGGCGUUGCCCGAAGAAGAAGCACUGGAUAACUCCGUGCCAGCAGCCGCGGUAAUUC
RNAcentral lists this ribosomal RNA (406 nucleotides) under uncultured bacterium. RNAcentral's name for it is "partial 16S ribosomal RNA". It matches the Rfam family "Bacterial small subunit ribosomal RNA", at positions 30 to 526 of the family's 1533-position model. The record is from RNAcentral.